RNAcentral lists this ribosomal RNA (422 nucleotides) under uncultured bacterium. Its description in RNAcentral is "partial 16S ribosomal RNA". It matches the Rfam family "Bacterial small subunit ribosomal RNA", at positions 360 to 774 of the family's 1533-position model. The record is from RNAcentral.
AAUCUUCCACAAUGGACGAAAGUCUGAUGGAGCAACGCCGCGUGAGCGCAGAAGGUUUUCGGAUCGUAAAGUUAUGUUGCGAGGGAAGAACAAGUACGGGAGUAGCUGCCUGUACCUUCUCGGUACCUCGUCAGAAAGCCACGGCUAACUACGUGCCAGCAGCCGCGGUAAUACGUAGGUGGCAAGCGUUUUCCGGAAUUAUUGGGCGUAAAGCGCGCGCAGGCGGUCCUUUAAGUCUGAUGUGAAAGCCCACGGCUCAACCGGGGAGGGUCAUUGGAAACUGGAGGACUUGAGUACAGAAGAGGAAAGCGGAAUUCCACGUGUAGCGGUGAAAUGCGUAGAGAUGUGGAGGAACACCAGUGGCGAAGGCGGCUUUCUGGUCUGUAACUGACGCUGAGGCGCGAAAGCGUGGGGAGCAAACA